This 312-nucleotide ribosomal RNA is filed under the name Acinetobacter sp. 24(2010). RNAcentral's name for it is "bacterial SSU rRNA". It matches the Rfam family "Bacterial small subunit ribosomal RNA", at positions 208 to 505 of the family's 1533-position model. The record is from RNAcentral. Lineage: Bacteria; Pseudomonadati; Pseudomonadota; Gammaproteobacteria; Moraxellales; Moraxellaceae.
AUCUUCGGACCUUGCGCUAAUAGAUGAGCCUAAGUCAGAUUAGCUAGUUGGUGGGGUAAAGGCCUACCAAGGCGACGAUCUGUAGCGGGUCUGAGAGGAUGAUCCGCCACACUGGGACUGAGACACGGCCCAGACUCCUACGGGAGGCAGCAGUGGGGAAUAUUGGACAAUGGGCGAAAGCCUGAUCCAGCCAUGCCGCGUGUGUGAAGAAGGCCUUUUGGUUGUAAAGCACUUUAAGCGAGGAGGAGGCUACUUGGAUUAAUACUCUAGGAUAGUGGACGUUACUCGCAGAAUAAGCACCGGCUAACUCUG